UACGAAGGGUGCUAGCGUUGUUCGGAAUUACUGGGCGUAAAGCGCAUGUAGGCGGAUAUUUAAGUCAGGGGUGAAAUCCCGCAGCUCAACUGCGGAACUGCCUUUGAUACUGGGUAUCUUGAGUAUGGAAGAGGUGAGUGGAAUUCCGAGUGUAGAGGUGAAAUUCGUAGAUAUUCGGAGGAACACCAGUGGCGAAGGCGGCUCACUGGUCCAUUACUGACGCUGAGGUGCGAAAGCGUGGGGAGCAAACAGG
Molecule: ribosomal RNA, 253 nt
Filed under: uncultured bacterium
Lineage: Bacteria
Description: partial 16S ribosomal RNA
Rfam family: Bacterial small subunit ribosomal RNA
Source: RNAcentral